UACGUAGGGUGCGAGCGUUGUCCGGAUUUAUUGGGUUUAAAGGGUGCGUAGGCGGCUUAUUAAGUCAGUGGUGAAAGCCCCAAGCUUAACUUGGGAACUGCCAUUGAUACUGAUGAGCUUGAGUAGAUUUGAGGCGGGCGGAAUGUGUCGUGUAGCGGUGAAAUGCUUAGAUAUGACACAGAACACCAAUUGCGUAGGCAGCUCGCUAAACUCUUACUGACGCUGAGGCACGAAAGCAUGGGGAUCAAACAGG
RNAcentral lists this ribosomal RNA (253 nucleotides) under uncultured bacterium. RNAcentral describes it as "partial 16S ribosomal RNA". It matches the Rfam family "Bacterial small subunit ribosomal RNA", at positions 524 to 776 of the family's 1533-position model. The record is from RNAcentral.